RNAcentral lists this long non-coding RNA (965 nucleotides) under Fragaria vesca (wild strawberry). Its description in RNAcentral is "long non-coding RNA (FVES_LNC003000)". Lineage: Eukaryota; Viridiplantae; Streptophyta; Magnoliopsida; Rosales; Rosaceae. The record is from RNAcentral.
GGCUUCUCUUGCUCUAACUGAUAGCACUAGCAGUACUAUACUAGGUCUCUCGCUACUAAGCUCUGGAGGUGUGUUCUUGUUCUGUAUUAUGAUUCUGAUAUCACUCUCGGUCAUACCGGCUGCAAUAUUUGCUUGCGGUCAUUCCUCUCGCAAGAAGAAACCACAUGGCGGCGGUGGGAGUGCAUAUGUUGGUGGUUAUUGGGACGGUGGCGGUGGCGGUGGAAACCAUCAUGGAGGUGGUGGACAUCACGGAGGUGGAGGACAUCACGGAGGUGGUGGACAUCACGGAGGUGGCGGACAUGACGGCGGUGGCGGACAUGGCGGCGGCGGUGGCGGCUGUGGUGGGGGUGGUGGCUGACAUCAUUUCGCUGGCGUAUUGACAUUAUCUUUGAUAAUGUACUGUUUCAUUUUGAUCGAGUUGUGAUAUCUUUGUAUCCUAAAUCUGCUAAAUAAAUAUCGUAUCAUCUGCGGAAUUAGAGUACGUACCGCACUGUGUAUAAAAUUAAUGGAAUAAAUACCAAAUGAAAGACUGUAUGUAGAAUUCAGGUCUAUGUAUGUUCUUGUUUCAGGUGACAGUUGAAAGGAAAUUGUCGCAACUCAACAAAGAAAAGAAGAAGAUUGAUAUAUAAAAGCUAAGAAUCACAGUGACUUUGAUGACUGAGAGUAUGAGACAACGACUUGUACGUUGUAUACAAGGCCCUCUGCAAUUCUGCAUUUAUCAUUUUAUCUUAAUUUCUAAUACCGUAAAAGCUAACUUGAGUUGGCUAACUAUAUAUAUACUUUUACCCUUAACAAUGGUACGAAUUCAGACUCAAAUUCAUAAAUAUGUAUCAACAGAUCUCUUUCUAACUAGUUGAAAGCUGCAUACAUGCAUGUGUUCUUAAUCAGCUGCAUGCUGAUCCUGAUAUCCCUCUCAGGCAUACCAGUUUACAAAUGAUAUUUAUGAUUCAUCAAUAACUUCGAUC